Molecule: long non-coding RNA, 5447 nt
Filed under: Heterocephalus glaber (naked mole-rat)
Lineage: Eukaryota; Metazoa; Chordata; Mammalia; Rodentia; Bathyergidae
Description: lncRNA (ENSHGLG00100039247.1)
Source: RNAcentral
GGGACAGGAACGCGCGCCGCCGGGAGGCCGAGGAGGCAGCCGGAGAGCGCGCCCGCGAGUGGGAGCGGGAGGGGAGGCGGGGAGCUGCGGGCGGCGCGGGCUGGACUCAACCAUCCCCGCGGAGGGGCGGGGGCUGCCUCGGCGCGCACGCUGCAGAAGGAGACUCGUUGGCUCGCGUGGGGAAGCCCACGCCGCGCACGGCACGCGGGAGAAACCACGCGAGGGAGCAAGGGAGCGAAGGAGCGGGGCCGCGGGCGAGCCGGGUGCUGCGGGACUCAGGCUGGCCGGCCUCCAUGGACUGCUUUCUCCUUGAGGAGCAGAGCGCCAAGCGAGCCCUGCGAAUUCUGCCUGCUGUGUGCUCCCUACACUGUGAUCCUGUGGCGUGGCGGUGAACCCAGAAGCCGCGGGGGGACUACAGGCUGCAGAUGUAAGCCCUGAGCGCCAGUUCACCCAGUUCACGGAGGGCUCCUGUGGCCCCUGCGGCCAGAAGCUUUCUCUUCUAGAGGCAGCAGCUUCCAAACUGGAGGAACUGCGUCACAUCUCCAGAAGUGACUCGGGUUGUCCCGGGGCAGGGUCCUUUUUGAUAUUUUUAUUUAUUUUUUGCCUCUGUUAUCCUUGGAGGGAGAACAGAAAAACAAGAGCUCAGGAAACCCCAGAAAUUCCCAGGGGAGAACCGUGGCUUCCACUGUUUAGGCUGAACCAGGUAUGUGGAGGGGAGGGUCACCCCUCUGUGAUUUUAACUCAGAGCCCAGGGUACCUGUAACUCUGCAAGUGAGCAAAAACGCCUUUUUAAGACCCAGUAAGUGCUCCAGUAGUUCACUUUGAGCUCAUCAGGAAAAAUUGAUCUCCUUCAGGAGCUAAGGAGAAAGUGUCCUGGCUUUGCACUGCCAUCCCUAACGACUUGUGUCACCUAGAAGCAUUUCUGCCAUUAGAAAACGUUUCCAAAAUCGAACUCUCCUGGGCUAUGACUCCUACGUGACUUCCAGGCUAUUAGGAUCCCAGGACUGCAGUUGAGUAUCCCUUGGGAAACCAGACACCUUCCCCAGAGAUGCUGACUCCCAGGCUCCACAUUCAGCUCCCCCUCACCCUGAUCCACUUAGAAAACCUUUGCCCUUUCCCCCCAGUGUCCGUGGAAGAGAUUCCAUUCAAAUCAUUGCUAACUGAAGAUUCUGAUAACCAGGAGCCAUGCAGUGUUGCUGCAUUUAUAACGAGACAUUGUCUUCCACCAGAUAGAAGAUAAAGAGCUCUAAUAAUUCAUGACAAGUUGUUUCGUGGUCAUACGUAGGAGAGGGUGGGAAAUGGCCGUCAAAUAAGAUAGGCCGAAUUUGUAAUCUGGCUGUGUUUGUGAGUUAGUAUUGCAAUCUCCCAAGAUGGGCAAUUGCUUUGGAGGGAAAUCGUGGGGCACUGCUGCCAUCUAGUGCCCAGGUUUUCUUGUUUGGUGUUUCUAGAGAAAUCCAUCCUUGGGUCUCUGCUCUCUUACCUGAUCGGGGCUCCCUUUACUGUUUUUGAGGGCCCUUCCAGGAGACGCCCUCCCUCCAGGCUGUCAGGCAACAUGUGAAAGUUAUUGUUACACUGGAGGCUUUCUCACUUUGAUUUUGAUUUUAUGAAAUCGCUGUAAAAGUUUGAUCACUACCAAAAUUCAAACGUACAGUGUCCAUUGAGCUUGGGUGCUGGGCCUUCACACCAGGCAUGCUGGUCAUUUGUUGUUGCUGUUGAUGAUGAUGAUGAUGAUGAUGUGGCUGGUUUCUUUUACUCCUAGGCCUUUUAUUAACAUUUGAACAAUUCAUAAUUUAUAUCCAAGUACAGAAUAAAGUUAGACUCUGAGUCUUUCCUUUUAGUCUUUCUAAAUUUUAGCCUCUCAAAAUAUUUUUAAAUGUUGACAUUUUAAAUUUUUCAUCAACACAUAGUAACUACAUGUUUAGGAACACAGUGUGCUAAUUCUACACCUGUAUACAAUGUGCAAGAUGCAAUCAUGGUCAUUGAUUGGCAUUGGAAUCUUCUCAAACAUUUAGCAUUUGUUUGUGUUGGGAAGCUUUGACCUCCCUCUCUCCUAAGUCUUUAUGGUCACUGCUAUGGCUUGUAUCUACCUAGAUCUCCCUCCAAAUCCUCAGGCAGUCAUAGGUGGGGCUUUUGGGAGCUGGCUGGAUCUAGACUGUGUGACACUAAGGUUAAGGUGUUGUGGUACUAAAUUCAUCCACUGAUUGGAAUCAGCAUAGUUCUGGGCGUGGCUGAGUGGAUUUAAUAAAGACAGAAGUUUUGGGUGGUGGCCCCACCCAAAAGGCUUAUAUCCUGGAUGGGAUAAAAAGAAAGGCAGGCUGCUGCGAGCUGCUUGGUGCUUGCUGCUUUGUUGCCUUAUGCCUGCCUUGCCGUGGACUGGUUUCUUCUGGAAUGCACCUUUGUUAUGAUGCCCUGCUUGGAGUCAGCUGACUAUGGUCAGCAACUCCUAAAGCAACUAAGACAGUCACUCGACUCUUCUGGAGACUACUAGAGCUUAUUCUUUCUGGGUGAUUAUAUUUUGGGGUUCAACUCUGUCUCCCAAUCUAGGCACAAAGCUGUCCAUAGCCUUCAGAUCCAGCUGAGCUGCUGUGGACAUUGUGGCCUAUGGGACCAGCCAGGAGUUCAUCAGUACAGUGUUCAAAAGAAGCAGCUCUGGCAUACCAAAAAGUACAAAGAACCCCCCACCCCCAAUCUGGUAGCCACUAAAUAAAGACUAAAUUGCUGAGAUAAUAGUCAAGUAUCUAAAAGAGAGAGUGGGAAUUAAAUAAUUGGAUGAGGGUCAGAAAAUAAGAACGUGAUACUUGAGAUAAAUAUAGAUCUUUUUUAAAAAAUGCACAAAUGAGAAUGCUAAUUAACUAGCAAAGCUGUACAUAUGUGAAAAUCUGAGAGAAUAUACUGUGUUGCCAGGAUGGCUACAUGGCACGUUUGGCUUGUUUAAUGUCAUACCUGAAAAAAUGGGAGAUAGGAAAAUAGUUGGGAGAAUUCCUCUCCUUAACAGAGGGGUCAGUGCCAGGCUGCGUGAUUCAUGCUCCUCUGAUGCAGGAGCAGGAAGUCCAAGGGGCUUAGCAGUGAGAGCAAAAGUCACAUUAAAAGGGAACCUUUUGCAAAGACAUGAAGCACAACCUCACUGACACCAUGGCCACCUCUGUCCCCCUCAAGUCCCUGUCCCAGUGACGAGGAAAAGCAGGCUUUGAGGAAUUGAGUGGUUUACAGGAGGUCUCAUCUCAUUAAAGGUCUCAGCAGCUGAGACACUCAGGGCUCUUGCUGCACCUGCAUAUAAAACCCCGCCUCGCCACUCUGCCCUGACAGACAGAAGAGCACAGGCCCCGGGAAGCCAAGGGGCCUGCCUGCAUGGUUGUCCCUGCUCCUGUAGCUGUCAGAUAGGAACCCAGAGCCAGACGUGCAUGGAGCGCCCCACACUGAGAGUGGAGCACACAUUCUUCCCAAGAGCCUGUGCAGCAUUCUCCAUGACAGGCCAGCACCUGGCCAAUACUGGGAAGAAAGAGAGAGAACAUGACCAUUUGCAACUCUUUGUUCCUGAAAGUCUAGUUGUUUUUUUUUAAAUAACUAUUCAAAUUGGCUGGUUCUAAAAGUAAAAGUGAACCAUUUACCCUUAUUUUUCUCAAAAAGGUAGCCCUUUAUACACACACUUGCACACACACACUGCUUUAGGGUGUAGGAUGACGGGAUAAAGUGAGGUGCAUGCUAUGAAAGAGCCAGUGGGGAGAAAGAGAAAGUCGUGCGUCCUCUCCUUGCACCUUGGGGUAGCUUGAAGGGAGGACAGGGCACACAGCCUGCAACUCCAGGACGCAACACCCUGCCCUGGAGGGCUAAUCACACACAGCACCAGCGGCUGACCCCAGCUCCUGGGUACCUGACACUGCACAUCUGGGAUGGGGCCCUAAAAUUUACAUCUCUAAUUUUGAAGGCUAAAGGACAUGCCUUGGAGCCAUUUCUGUCAUUGUCUAGACAAGAGGGCCUAAUAAGAAUAAAAAAUAAGGACUCCUGCGUCUCAGUGUAUGAUUCCUCAUCUAAAACGUGGAUGAGAGCUUUCUCGUGGGGGAGUUGGAAAAGCCAAACAACAUAGACGCAAGGCCCAGAAGCUGGUGAAGUCUCAAAUAUAUGGUUCUCAUUUUCUGUGUCGUCUCUGAAGGGAAAAGAAGACACCCAGAUGGGCAAAGGCACUUCCAUCUGCUCUGAGCUGUAUUUUAGGAGCCGCAAACUGGAUCUUUCGAGAGAAAGGAACACAUUCAGUCAGUCUCUCCCGGAGUGUCUCGAGGACGGACCUGCUGUUUAUCAACAUGCCUCUGUGGAAGCUCCCAGAGAUCUCCUCAGGGUUUUACUGUGGUCUUGCCCUCCGAGGCUUAGGGCCUUUCUGGGGAUCCGGACAUUCUGUAGUGAAGAUGCUGGAUUGGCCAAAUCCUGUGAGGCGCCGUGGAAAAGUAAGAUCCUCCAUUUCCUGGACAAGAAUCUAUUGGAAAAUCUUAAAGAAGCAAGUUAUCUGCUGGAAGUGGUGGCUGCACCUGUAAUCCCAGCACUUUGAGAGGUGGAGAUGGGAAGCUCACAAGUUUGAACCCAGCCUGGGCCACUCAGCAACUUAGUUAGACAUGGUCUCAAAAAUUAAGGGUUGAGGAUGUAGCUCAGUGCAGAGGCCCUGAGUUCAACGCCUCCACAAAAAGCAAGUCAUCAUCCAUUGAAUUCCCAUAGAUCUGUCAACCUGGAAUGUGUAGAAUUCUGCAGUUCAUGCUGUGAUUCACAGGUAGGAAGAAAAACUCUUCGAGGGACAGCAGUGCGGGUGUGCACUAAGAACAAACCUCACUCGAGUCCUGUAUGUGCCUGCACAGAGGCUGAUUCUGAAAGACACAACGAGCUGUGGGUGUUGUAAAUAAUCGCUGGGAAAAGGAGGGAAACAGCAACAGAAGCACAAGCCUUCUCCAUCCCAACCCACUCCCUCCUGGGCCUCCACCCAAGGCCCUCUGGUGCACAAGGCCUGGCCUGAGCCUGCAGGAAGGCUGGAGCCACGUGUGGACUCCACCCAGCUCAUGACGGAAGUCACCCCUCCCUCGCCACAGGUCACUGCAGCCCCCUUAGCAGCCCCGGCUCUUAUCAAAGCAAUGCCUUCCGUGCUCUUCCUGUCAUUCUGUCAAAGUCUGAGAGAGAGAGAGACCUUCUGCAAUGGAAAGGAGAUCAAGAGAUCCCCUCCCAAGGGAGGGAGGAGAAGCAAAAGGGAGUGUUAUGUGCCUAUACCACCUGCCCACAGCGAAUGCAAUCCUUAUGUGCUGCAAAUUUGCACCAAUAAAAAUAACAAUUAAAAAAAUAAAAUUUAUUAGUUAAUCUGAAAAAAAUCAUUGUCAAUAGUAAUGGCUGGCAGAUAUAUUAAAAAAAAUCCAAUAUCAGGAGAAUGCAAAUGGGAUAUCAUCAAUGGGAUAGCAUCUGACCUCAUUAAAAAU